This 358-nucleotide ribosomal RNA is filed under the name uncultured Treponema sp. RNAcentral's name for it is "bacterial SSU rRNA". It matches the Rfam family "Bacterial small subunit ribosomal RNA", at positions 352 to 702 of the family's 1533-position model. The record is from RNAcentral. Lineage: Bacteria; Pseudomonadati; Spirochaetota; Spirochaetia; Treponematales; Treponemataceae.
CUAAGGGAUAUUUCCGGCAAUGGAGGAAACUCUGACGGAGCGACGCCGCGUGGAUGAUGAAGGUCGGAAGAUUGUAAAAUCCUUUUAAGUAUGAUGAAUAACCUGAUCAGGAAAUGGGACAGGGAUGACCGUAAUACUUGAAUAAGCAACGGCUAAUUACGUGCCAGCAGCCGCGGUAACACGUAAGUUGCGAGCGUUGUUCGGAAUUAUUGGGCGUAAAGGGCAUGUAGGCGGUAUUGCAAGCCUGGUGUGAAAGGCAGGGGCUCAACCUCUGGACUGCGCUGGGAACUGCGAUACUAGAGUCGCUGAGGGGCAAUCAGAAUUCCAGGUGUAGGGGUGAAAUCUGUAGAUAUCUGGA